GCCAGCUCGCUCCACUCCCGUCGGUUUCACGGAAGGCUGUCUAGAUGGCAUUGUAAACGGUUCGCACCUGCGGGGCCACAAAGAGGUGCAGCUGCGGAAAUCAACUCAGAGAUACAUUUUAGGGUCAGGCCAAGGAUUGAGAGCGUCGUAGGUGAGAGACACAGACUGAGGGAAUCAGAAGCACCACUGUCCACCAGGAAUUAAAUCGGUUUCCCAGCGUCUUCUGUAAAUAUUUCACCAACUAUUUCCUCUCGGACCGAUCGCUCCCCUUGUGCUCCUUCCUCUGGUGAGGCCAAAAUUCUCCUCCCAGGACUUAGCAGACAGACAGGACUUGGGUUUCAAGGAGCCCGCCACAGCCGGCCCGCUCUUGCAGCUCGCUGUGUGGCGGCCUAAAACUUCGGAAGGAGAGGUGGCGCAUCGCGGACUCAGCAGGUCAGGAGCACUACCCCGAGGUGCGAGGUCCAAGCGCACGCGCUGGCAAUGCCACGCACCGGUGGUGGUUUUGCGAGCCUCCACCCUCAACCCCAGUUAAAUCCCCACAGCCUUUCCUACCAUCGAUUUUCCUUGCCAAGGAAACUCGGCGUGUACCAGCCGCAUCCUCGCCUCCUCCACCCGCUCUGCUACCGGUUUCCGCGGGAAGUCAAAUCUUGGAGGAUUUACCUAAGCCUUAAGAGGAAAGAAUCCACGUGAGUUAGCAGCAACUGAGAGCCUAGCCCACCCGCAUGCUCGAGGCCGCCCCCCAUUCCCAAGAGGCUGGGCCCGCCGCCCGGUAAAGUCACACCGCCAGCUCCCGGCGUCCUAGUCCGAGCCCGGCGCCCAAACUGGAGGCCCGGAAUCCUCUACUUCGCUCCACUCGACUUACCCAGGCCGCUGCCAGUCCCGGCUCCUUCCCCAGCUCCUCAUUUCCGACUUUUUCACUUGCUAAGUCGUUUAACAACUCCCAGCUGCUAGUUACAGCCUCUUUAUUUAUA
Molecule: long non-coding RNA, 971 nt
Organism: Panthera uncia (snow leopard)
Lineage: Eukaryota; Metazoa; Chordata; Mammalia; Carnivora; Felidae
Exons: 2
Source: RefSeq, a predicted model, not a curated record